AUGCCUUGGCAGGGUGCCUCAUUCCCUCCU
RNAcentral lists this non-coding RNA (30 nucleotides) under Rattus norvegicus (Norway rat). The record is from RNAcentral. Lineage: Eukaryota; Metazoa; Chordata; Mammalia; Rodentia; Muridae.